GAGGGCUUUUUCCAGAGAAUACCUUGUCAGACUCCUGCAAAUUCCACCUGGGGCUUUUGGCUUGCUUAUCUCCUUUGAACAAAACUACUGCAACAUGCAGUGCAAAAGGUGGGGAUUCUCUCCGGGAGCCAGGAAACAGGCCACAGAAGGCUCUGAACAUGGCAGUGUGGCCUUCGGUCAUGCCUCGUUAGUUUAGAGUUUAUACUCAGCAUGGGGUUUUGAGUCUCCUUGAGUGCCUGAACCAAAGUCCCAAAGCGGUAGAGCCCACAGUCAGGUAGAGGAAGUUUCUGAUAUUGUUGAUAUUUUAAUCUUAAGCCCUUCAAGAUUUUUGUUUAGCAGGGUGAAACAUUUUUGUCUAGUUUUAACAUGGUUUCUAAAUUAGUAGCAUAUUUAACUUUGUAUAUAAGCCUGUAGAAAGUAUGAAAACACUGGAAUAAAAAGGGCAUAUCUAGACGAUUGUAUAUAAUGACCCUAAUAUUAAAGGCAAGGGGGAAUAGUUUUUUUUUGGUGUAUUUUUUGUUUUUUGUUUUUGUUUUACCUGUAGUACACCUUUGGAGUACCAUAAAUACGUGGAAAAAAUAGCUAUCUGGGGAUCUUGGGGCUUUUGAACAAAACUACUACUAGCUUAAUGUUUUACAUUUUUAUUGUACAAUUCACUACCAAAUGUUUACGUAGAAUAAAAUGGAUACAGGUGUGUGUCUCCAUAACUAAUGCAUGGACAUUAGCUACAGCAACCUUUUGCAGUCUCCUGAGUCCCAUAGCCUAUCUGUAACUGUACACUGCAGAAUCACAGAAUUGAGGAAUCUUUUUCCCCAAAAUGUACUAGAUACGACCACAUGUGGGUUUUGCAGUCGUGUUGAGCCCAUCAAAAACUACUUGGUGCUUCUUGAGGGUAUCUUGAAAAGUUCUUCCUGGCAAGUUCUGCUAUGACACCAAAUGGUGGUAACUAGUGGUAUCCUUAUCCGAGUCUGUCGAACAUUGAUGUAUUGAUUGUAUAGUUAUCUAGAAGAGCUGAACAAUGAAUGAAACCAAGACAGAGUUGUAUUCUUUUAGCUUAGGGCUCUUGCAAAAAUGACGCUGGUCAAGUUAGAUGAACUCUUGGUGACCAGCAGAUCAAAAAAAAUUAGUUUGUCAAAAGUGAUGCGAGUUCUGAUCCACUUCUCUACUGUAUCUUAAAUGCAGUAGAAUUUUCUCACAGAAAAGCUUGGUGUUUCCUGUCCUCUGUAAAACAACACGUCUUUUCUAGGACUUCAGUCUUUGCACUGUUGUAAACGGAUUUGUGAGUUAGGGGUUUUCUGAUUUAUUUAUUUUGUGUUUGUUUUGUUGCUAGGAUAGCUAUGUGGUGGCUGUCACACCUGGUAAGGUAAAUUGAUAUAUGUAAAUCAUGGGACUACAAUGAAACAUUAUGUAAAUAUUAACUGUUCAUACUUGGUGCACAAGAAAAGGUUCCAUUAUAUGUUUUCCACAUGCUGACACUUCAUGGAUGACUUCAAUGUAUAAUUAGAGUAUCUCUAUGUAUUACCAAAAACUUGCUUAUGAAAUCUGGCACUCAGAAUAGAAAAGAAUGUGAAUUUGCAA
Long non-coding RNA from Gavialis gangeticus (Gharial), 1578 nucleotides. RefSeq lists it as uncharacterized. The record is from RefSeq and is a predicted model, not a curated record. Lineage: Eukaryota; Metazoa; Chordata; Crocodylia; Gavialidae. The transcript has 2 exons.